AACGAACGCUGGCGGCAUGCCUAACACAUGCAAGUCGAACGAGACCUUCGGGUCUAGUGGCGCACGGGUGCGUAACGCGUGGGAACCUGCCCUUAGGUUCGGAAUAACUCCCCGAAAGGGGUGCUAAUACCGGAUAAUGUCUUCGGACCAAAGAUUUAUCGCCUUUGGAUGGGCCCGCGUUGGAUUAGCUAGUUGGUAGGGUAAAAGCCUACCAAGGCGACGAUCCAUAGCUGGUCUGAGAGGAUGAUCAGCCACACUGGGACUGAGACACGGCCCAGACUCCUACGGGAGGCAGCAGUGGGGAAUAUUGGACAAUGGGCGAAAGCCUGAUCCAGCAAUGCCGCGUGAGUGAUGAAGGCCGUAGGGUUGUAAAGCUCUUUUACCCGGGAUGAUAAUGACGGUACCGGGAGAAUAAGCGCCGGCUAACUCCGUG
Molecule: ribosomal RNA, 433 nt
Filed under: uncultured bacterium
Lineage: Bacteria
Description: partial 16S ribosomal RNA
Rfam family: Bacterial small subunit ribosomal RNA
Source: RNAcentral